This 254-nucleotide ribosomal RNA is filed under the name uncultured bacterium. RNAcentral describes it as "partial 16S ribosomal RNA". It matches the Rfam family "Bacterial small subunit ribosomal RNA", at positions 524 to 776 of the family's 1533-position model. The record is from RNAcentral.
CACGUAGGCACCAAGCGUUAUCCGGAUUUAUUGGGCGUAAAGAGCUCGUAGGCGGUUCGGUAAGUCGGGUGUGAAAACUCUGGGCUCAACCCAGAGAGGCCACCCGAUACUGCUGUGACUAGAGUGCGGUAGGGGAGCGGGGAAUUCCUGGUGUAGCGGUGAAAUGUGCAGAUAUCAGGAGGAACACCAGCGGCGAAGGCGCCGCUCUGGGCCGUAACUGACGCUGAGGAGCGAAAGCAUGGGGAGCGAACAGG